Molecule: ribosomal RNA, 832 nt
Filed under: uncultured bacterium
Lineage: Bacteria
Description: bacterial SSU rRNA
Rfam family: Bacterial small subunit ribosomal RNA
Source: RNAcentral
AAUACUGGUGGAGGCCUAAACAUGCAAGUCGAGCGCACCUUCGGGUGAGCGGCGGACGGGUUAGUAACGCGUGGGAACGUGCCCAGAUCUGCGGAAUAGCCACUGGAAACGGUGAGUAAUACCGCAUACGCCCUUCGGGGGAAAGAUUCAUCGGAUUUGGAUCGGCCCGCGUUAGAUUAGGUAGUUGGUGGGGUAACGGCCUACCAAGCCUACGAUCUAUAGCUGGUUUUAGAGGAUGAUCAGCAACACUGGGACUGAGACACGGCCCAGACUCCUACGGGAGGCAGCAGUGGGGAAUCUUAGACGAUGGGGGCAACCCUGAUCUAGCCAUGCCGCGUGAGUGAUGAAGGCCUUAGGGUCGUAAAGCUCUUUCGCCAGGGAUGAUAAUGACAGUACCUGGUAAGGAAACCCCGGCUAACUCCGUGCCAGCAGCCGCGGUAAUACGGAGGGGGUUAGCGUUGUUCGGAAUUACUGGGCGUAAAGCGCGCGUAGGCGGACCAGAAAGUUAGGGGUGAAAUCCCGGGGCUCAACCCCGGGACUGCCUCUAAAACUCCUGGUCUAGAGUUCGAGAGAGGUGAGUGGAAUUCCGAGUGUAGAGGUGAAAUUCGUAAAUAUUCGGAGGAACACCAGUGGCGAAGGCGGCUCACUGGCUCGAUACUGACGCUGAGGUGCGAAAGUGUGGGGAGCAUACAGGAUUAUAUACCCUGGUAGUCCACACCGUAUACGAUGAGUGCCGGUCGUCGGUAGCAUGCUAUUCUGUGACACUCGUAACGGAUUAAUGCAUUCCGACUGUGCAGUACAGUCGCAAGAUUAAUACUCAUGGAAUUGACGG